AAGUUGGACACCAAGCCUAUGUAAAGCUCCUUCGACGAGUCGAGUAGUUUGGGAAUGCUGCUCAAAAUGGGAGGUAAAUUUCUUCUAAAGCUAAAUACCGGCCAGAGACCGAUAGCGCACAAGUAGAGUGAUCGAAAGAUGAAAAGCACUUUGAAAAGAGGGUUAAACAGUACGUGAAAUUGUUGAAAGGGAAGCGCUCAUGACCAGACUUGUGCCCUGCGAAUCAUCCAGCCUUCUGGCUGGUGCACUUCGCUUGGUUCAGGCCAGCAUCGGUUUUCUGAGGGGGAUAAAAGCUUCAGGAACGUAGCUCCUCCGGGAGCAUUAUAGCCUGUUGCAUAAUACCCCUCGGGGGACCGAGGUUCGCGGAUGCUG
Molecule: ribosomal RNA, 372 nt
Filed under: Thyridium oculorum
Lineage: Eukaryota; Fungi; Ascomycota; Sordariomycetes; Thyridiales; Thyridiaceae
Description: Phialemoniopsis ocularis partial large subunit ribosomal RNA
Rfam family: Eukaryotic large subunit ribosomal RNA
Source: RNAcentral